This 414-nucleotide ribosomal RNA is filed under the name uncultured bacterium. RNAcentral describes it as "bacterial SSU rRNA". It matches the Rfam family "Bacterial small subunit ribosomal RNA", at positions 554 to 957 of the family's 1533-position model. The record is from RNAcentral.
UUGGGCGUAAGCGCGCGCAGGCGGAUCAGUCAGUCUGUCUUAAAAGUUCGGGGCUUAACCCCGUGAUGGGAUGGAAACUGCUGAUCUAGAGUAUCGGAGAGGAAAGUGGAAUUCCUAGUGUAGCGGUGAAAUGCGUAGAUAUUAGGAAGAACACCAGUGGCGAAGGCGACUUUCUGGACGAAAACUGACGCUGAGGCGCGAAAGCCAGGGGAGCGAACGGGAUUAGAUACCCCGGUAGUCCUGGCCGUAAACGAUGGGUACUAGGUGUAGGAGGUAUCAACCCCCUUCUGUGCCGGAGUUAACGCAAAUAAAGUACCCCGCCUGGGGGAGUACGACCGCAAGGUUUGAAAACUCAAAAGGAAUUGACGGGGGCCCCGCAACAAGCGGGUGGAAUAUGUGGUUUAAUUCCGACGC